GUCCGGGAAGCAGGGAGGGAGGAGGCAGAGGAAGGGCGCUGGGCGCCGAAUUCACCAGCACAGGAAAAUGACCCUCUAGAACAUUCCAAGGCAUAGGCAGGGAUCGCGGAGCGAGCCCAGCCCGAUCCCACUCAGGCGGGUAAGUGGGACCUGUCGCACGGACCUGGCCAGCGGUGCUCAAGACUAAGUUCGGUGACCGAUCCCUGGAGCGAUUUUCAUAGGGCGUGUCUGGGGCAUGCGCCCGCAGCGCCACCCUCGUAUCUGCCAAAGGGGCCCGGGUCACUUUGGCUCUAACUCCUGGAGUGCCCCAGGCUGCCAAGUCCCCAUCUGGGGCUGAGAAGCUGAGUGUGGGCUAGGCUCCAGGAUGACUGGGUUUCCCUCAGACACCCUCUUUCCUCCCACCUGCUUUUGGCCCACCUCCUCCUGGAGGAGGGUGUGAGCCUGGCGGGUGGCUGCCAGAGUCCUGCUGUGACUGGAAAGAUGGCCCAAGCCAGUCAGCGUUUUCCAUGCUGGUCCUGAGCUGAUUGUCAACCCAGCUUGGAUCUACUGUGACUCAAGGCCCAAGCAAGGGGCACUGGAGAGUUUGGGAGGGAGUUGGGUGACCUGGACCCAGAGCCUCCUAGGCCCCUGGACUCCUGUGGAACUGUCUGUGAGAUGGGGAAGGUAACCGGUAUCUUAUCACUCACUGUGAGGACUGAGGAAGACCAGAGCUGUGUUCCGGAGUUACCAACACUUUCGGCUCCCCAUCAGCCCCAGGAAAGUGAUCUGGUCAGAGAGAUGUCAAAGCUUAGAGCUCCACAAAGGCCGUGGCUGAGGCUCAUGGGAAUCUGGAGGCCCCCCGUACUGUAGGACUCUCGUUCCUGGGGAAAACGAAAGCUCUGCCACCUCUGAUACUUCUUCUCCUUGCAAGAAACACAAAGCCAUGACCUCAGCAAGGUCUUUCUGUGAGUCAGGGAUAGGAGCUGAAAUUAGGACACAGGCAUUGCGGGUCCACAGCUAUUCCGUUCACCCACCCUGGCUGGGACAAAGUGCAGGUGAAGAAACUGGGGCCCAUGAGGCCAAGGCUGCCCAGCUUGUCAUGCUCUUCUAAUAAAGGCAUCCAGAUCCCAUUCAUUGGCGUUGUUUGAGCACCUGCCAGGAUGCAGCCACUCCCUCAGGCACUGGGUACACUGCCGUGGACAGAUGAAGAAGACAAAGCCGUGGACAGAUAAAGAAGACAAAGCCAGCAAUGUCACUGAGCACUUGUGACAUUAUUAAGGAAGAAAGGGUUCGGACCUCUUACUUCUCUGGCGUCCUACAUCUUGGCUGACUGUGCCUCUCCUUCCCAGACUCCUCCUUGACUCCUAGUCUCACCCAUCUUGCUUCCCUAUUGGCCAACAGUGCUUUAUUUAAUC
Molecule: long non-coding RNA, 1394 nt
Organism: Mesocricetus auratus (golden hamster)
Lineage: Eukaryota; Metazoa; Chordata; Mammalia; Rodentia; Cricetidae
Exons: 4
Source: RefSeq, a predicted model, not a curated record